This 72-nucleotide transfer RNA is filed under the name Odocoileus virginianus texanus. It matches the Rfam family "tRNA". Rfam says of the family: Transfer RNA (tRNA) molecules are approximately 80 nucleotides in length. Their secondary structure includes four short double-helical elements and three loops (D, anti-codon, and T loops). Further hydrogen bonds mediate the characteristic L-shaped molecular structure. tRNAs have two regions of fundamental functional importance: the anti-codon, which is responsible for specific mRNA codon recognition, and the 3' end, to which the tRNAs corresponding amino acid is attached (by aminoacyl-tRNA synthetases). tRNAs cope with the degeneracy of the genetic code in two manners: having more than one tRNA (with a specific anti-codon) for a particular amino acid; and 'wobble' base-pairing, i.e. permitting non-standard base-pairing at the 3rd anti-codon position. Lineage: Eukaryota; Metazoa; Chordata; Mammalia; Artiodactyla; Cervidae. RNAcentral also lists the same sequence under 3 other names. The record is from Rfam by way of RNAcentral.
UCCCUGGUGGCUCAGAGGUUAAAGCGUCUGCCUGCAAUGCGGGAGACCAGGGUUCAAUCCCUGGGUUGGGAA